This 548-nucleotide ribosomal RNA is filed under the name uncultured bacterium. Its description in RNAcentral is "partial 16S ribosomal RNA". It matches the Rfam family "Bacterial small subunit ribosomal RNA", at positions 355 to 914 of the family's 1533-position model. The record is from RNAcentral.
UGGGGAAUAUUGCACAAUGGGCGAAAGCCUGAUGCAGCGACGCCGCGUGAGGGAUGACGGCCUUCGGGUUGUAAACCUCUUUCAGCAGGGACGAAGCGCAAGUGACGGUACCUGCAGAAGAAGCACCGGCUAACUACGUGCCAGCAGCCGCGGUAAUACGUAGGGUGCAAGCGUUGUCCGGAAUUACUGGGCGUAAAGAGUUCGUAGGCGGUUUGUCGCGUCGUUUGUGAAAACCAGCAGCUCAACUGCUGGCUUGCAGGCGAUACGGGCAGACUUGAGUACUGCAGGGGAGACUGGAAUUCCUGGUGUAGCGGUGAAAUGCGCAGAUAUCAGGAGGAACACCGGUGGCGAAGGCGGGUCUCUGGGCAGUAACUGACGCUGAGGAACGAAAGCGUGGGUAGCGAACAGGAUUAGAUACCCUGGUAGUCCACGCCGUAAACGGUGGGCGCUAGGUGUGGGUUCCUUCCACGGAAUCCGUGCCGUAGCUAACGCAUUAAGCGCCCCGCCUGGGGAGUACGGCCGCAAGGCUAAAACUUAAAGGAAUUGAC